AACGAACGCUGGCGGCAUGCCUAACACAUGCAAGUCGAACGAGACCUUCGGGUCCAGUGGCGCACGGGUGCGUAACGCGUGGGAACCGUCCUUUAUGUUCGGAAUAACUCUGAGAAAUUUGAGCUAAUACCGGAUGAUAUCUUCUGACCAAAGAUUUUUCGACUUGCAAUGGUCCCGCGUUGCAUUAGCUAGUUGGUGGGGUAAAGGCCUACCAAGGCGACGAUCCAUAGCUGGUCUGAGAGGAUGCUCAGCAACACUGGGACUGAGACACGGCCCAGACUCCUACGGGAUGCAGCAGUGGGGAAUAUUGCACAAUGGGCGAAAGGCUGAUCCAGCAAUGCCGCGUGAGUGAUGAAGGCCUUAGGGUUGUAAAGCUCUUUUAACCGAGAUGAUAAUGACAGUAUCGGGAGAAUAAGCUCCGGCUAACUCCGUG
RNAcentral lists this ribosomal RNA (433 nucleotides) under uncultured bacterium. RNAcentral describes it as "partial 16S ribosomal RNA". It matches the Rfam family "Bacterial small subunit ribosomal RNA", at positions 29 to 507 of the family's 1533-position model. The record is from RNAcentral.